This 72-nucleotide transfer RNA is filed under the name Phrynosoma platyrhinos (Desert horned lizard). Its description in RNAcentral is "tRNA-OTHER". The record is from RNAcentral. Lineage: Eukaryota; Metazoa; Chordata; Lepidosauria; Squamata; Phrynosomatidae.
GACAGCAUGGUAUAGUGGUUUGAGCAUUGGACUAUGACUUUAGAGACCAGGGUUCAAAUCCCAGCUCGGCCA